Molecule: non-coding RNA, 407 nt
Organism: Salvelinus sp. IW2-2015
Lineage: Eukaryota; Metazoa; Chordata; Actinopteri; Salmoniformes; Salmonidae
Source: RefSeq, a predicted model, not a curated record
AGGAUGAUUACAUCAGGACUGUGGAGGAAACCCCAGGCUCGGAUGAAAUACAGAUGUUGUAAAAAUGGGUUCCUGGAUUGAGUGAAAAAGAGCCAUGGAGUCACCAUUUUGUUACGCAACAAACGGAAGAAAACUGACUAAAUAAAACAAGGGAGGGACUACCUAGACUGUUCCAAUAAGAAACAUUUCAAAAACAUUUUGCUACGCUGUGCCCUAAUGAACAUGGCCCUGAUCUGAUGGAGCGUUGCUGGGAUUCUGGGAGGAGACGUGGAGACUGAGGGUCCGUCCCAAAUGGCAUCCUCGUCUCUAUAUCAGGGUUCCCCAACAGGUUAUAUCAUUUGGACCUCUUCCUCCCCUCAUGUUUUCUGAGCAAAAAAAAAACGUUUUUAUAAAAUCUAUUUUUGCUU